Molecule: long non-coding RNA, 704 nt
Filed under: Salmo salar (Atlantic salmon)
Lineage: Eukaryota; Metazoa; Chordata; Actinopteri; Salmoniformes; Salmonidae
Description: lncRNA (ENSSSAG00000122221.1)
Source: RNAcentral
AAAUCCUACUCGUAAUAUCCCAGCCUAGCCCUGUCUGACUGAGGGUUGAAACCUAGACUGGGAGGGGGCUCAGCUCUGAGACAUAGUAUGAACUGGUUUCCAGGGCAACAUUAAACCAAUAGUGUUGUGUUAGUCAAAGACUAGACUUUAUCUGUGUCUAGGAUACUCAGCCCAAUAACACUGUAACUGCUGGGGGGGGUCAACUCUAAAGGCUGGUUUCCCAGAUACAGAUUAAUCCUAGUUCUGGACUAAAAAGGUAUUUCUUCAUUGACAAUGAAAUUCUCCAUUAGACCAGGACAAGGAUUAAUCUGUGCCUGGGAAACCAGCCCAAUGACACAGUGUCUGUAUUCCCAGACACAAAUUAAGCCUAUAUUCCUGGACUAAAAAGCUAUUUAAAGAGAGAUUAUUAAAUUUAGCAUGCUUUUUAGUUCAGGACCAGGCUUAAUCUGUGUCCUGGAAACUGGCCCAAUAACACAGUAACUGAACUUCUAUAUCUCUGGUACAGGCAGCAAGUUUGUGUGUCUAUAUCUCUGGUACAGGCAGCAGGUUUGUGUGUCUAUAUCUCUGGUACAGGCAGCAAGUUUGUGUGUCUAUAUCUCUGGUACAGGCAGCAGGUUUGUGUGUCUAUAUCUCUGGUACAGGCAGCAAGUUUGUGUAUUUAUAUCUCUGGUACAGGCAGCAAGUUUGUGUGUCUAUAUCUCUGG